CACGUAGGGGCCAAGCGUUGUCCGGAUUUAUUGGGCGUAAAGAGCUCGUAGGCGGCUUGUUGCGUCAGCUGUGAAAACCCGCAGCUCAACUGUGGGCUUGCAGCUGAUACGGGCAGGCUUGAGUUCGGUAGGGGAGACUGGAAUUCCCGGUGUAGCGGUGAAAUGCGCAGAUAUCGGGAGGAACACCAGUAGCGACGGCGGCUCCCUGGGCCAUUCCUGACGCUGAGACGCGAAAGCGUGGGGAGCAAACAGG
Molecule: ribosomal RNA, 253 nt
Filed under: uncultured bacterium
Lineage: Bacteria
Description: partial 16S ribosomal RNA
Rfam family: Bacterial small subunit ribosomal RNA
Source: RNAcentral